CAUCAAGGAGAAGAACAUUCCACCCACGUUUGGAUUCUGGAAUAUCAUCCUUGCUUCCAUCAGAUUCUUGUAAGUACCUCACUUGGCACAAGGUAGACAUGACGUUCAAGGAAGUCAACUGCGUUGCCCAAGAGUAAGAGAAGGCAAAAACAUGCUAACUGACAAGAAAAUCAUGGGUUUUAUACAAGGAUAACAAGUGCUGGGUUGCUUAGCUAUGAGGAAGGCUAGGCUCACUGCAUACCAGAAGAUGUACAGCGUUGGAGAAUUCAGGGAUUUUUAUCAACAAUCAAACUAUAUUUGUGGAAAUUUUGUGCAUAAGUGCCAAAGAUGGCUGACAUCGGACCACAUUCUAUUUAACUCAACUGAAUGACACCAAGCUCUCAUCCUAAAACUUAUAGUUACAUCCACCCUUCUGAAAUAUUUAAUUAUUCUCCAAUACACUGGAGGUAAUAGGUAUAAAAAGAAUGAGCAUGUGCAACUUAGUAUCUCA
Molecule: long non-coding RNA, 490 nt
Organism: Homo sapiens (human)
Lineage: Eukaryota; Metazoa; Chordata; Mammalia; Primates; Hominidae
Gene: LRRC77P
Product: leucine rich repeat containing 77, pseudogene
Source: Ensembl